AUACGUAUGGAGCAAGCGUUAUCCGGAUUUACUGGGUGUAAAGGGAGUGUAGGUGGCCAGGCAAGUCAGAAGUGAAAGCCCGGGGCUCAACCCCGGGACUGCUUUUGAAACUGCAGGGCUAGAGGGUGCAGGAGGGGCAAGUGGAAUUCCUAGUGUAGCGGUGAAAUGCGUAGAUAUUAGGAGGAACACCAGUGGCGAAGGCGGCUUGCUGGACUGUAACUGACACUGAGGCUCGAAAGCGUGGGGAGC
Molecule: ribosomal RNA, 249 nt
Filed under: uncultured bacterium
Lineage: Bacteria
Description: partial 16S ribosomal RNA
Rfam family: Bacterial small subunit ribosomal RNA
Source: RNAcentral